Molecule: ribosomal RNA, 497 nt
Filed under: uncultured bacterium
Lineage: Bacteria
Description: partial 16S ribosomal RNA
Rfam family: Bacterial small subunit ribosomal RNA
Source: RNAcentral
GAUGAACGCUGGCGGCGUGCCUAAUACAUGCAAGUCGAGCGAACAGACGAGGAGCUUGCUCCUUCGACGUUAGCGGCGGACGGGUGAGUAACACGUAGGUAACCUACCUAUAAGACUGGGAUAACUUCGGGAAACCGGAGCUAAUACCGGAUAAUAUUUCGAACCGCAUGGUUCGAUAGUGAAAGAUGGCUUUGCUAUCACUUAUAGAUGGACCUGCGCCGUAUUAGCUAGUUGGUAAGGUAACGGCUUACCAAGGCAACGAUACGUAGCCGACCUGAGAGGGUGAUCGGCCACACUGGAACUGAGACACGGUCCAGACUCCUACGGGAGGCAGCAGUAGGGAAUCUUCCGCAAUGGGCGAAAGCCUGACGGAGCAACGCCGCGUGAGUGAUGAAGGUCUUCGGAUCGUAAAACUCUGUUAUUAGGGAAGAACAAACGUGUAAGUAACUGUGCACGUCUUGACGGUACCUAAUCAGAAAGCCACGGAUAACUACGUG